CUUAAGUACAUGGUCAAUGCGGACUCAUCGUCUGCGACCAACUAAUUUUGUUUUAGCGAUUAAAUAAAAAAAAAUACAUAUGUAGAUCUGUUUCAUAUUCCGAGAGGGUACCUAGCAAACAGAGAGUAAAGUCUCAAUAAAAUGAUGGCAACAAUGCCGCUGAAGUUGAAAGAUAAAUGACCACCGUGCUUCUCAAGCAGCUUGAGGCCAUCAAACGGC
RNAcentral lists this long non-coding RNA (219 nucleotides) under Drosophila guanche. The record is from RNAcentral. Lineage: Eukaryota; Metazoa; Arthropoda; Insecta; Diptera; Drosophilidae.